CCCUUCAGGUAGUCUAGAAAGACACUCACAUCUUGCAAGGUUUAGAGUUUUCAAGUUAUCCAAAGAGCAAAUUGAAUCAGGUAACUCUUCUACUUUGCUCCAACUUAAAUCGAUAUUGCUUAGGUGACGCAAAUUUCCAAUCCCUUCAGGUAGUCUAGAAAGACACUCACAUCUUGCAAGAAUUAAAGUUUGCAAGUUAUCCAAAGAGCAAAUUGAAUCAGGUAACUCUUCUACUUUGCUCCAACUUAAAUCGAUAUUGCUUAGGUGACGCAAAUUUCCAAUCCCUUCAGGUAGUCUAGAAAGACAAUGACAGCUGUAAAGAGCUAGAGUUUGCAAAUUAUCCAAAGAGCAAGUUGAAUUAGGUAACUCCUCUACAUUGCUCCAAGA
Ipomoea nil (Japanese morning glory) is the source of this 387-nucleotide long non-coding RNA. RefSeq lists it as uncharacterized. The transcript is spliced from 3 exons. The record is from RefSeq and is a predicted model, not a curated record. Lineage: Eukaryota; Viridiplantae; Streptophyta; Magnoliopsida; Solanales; Convolvulaceae.